CUUUGCUGGCGACCGGCGCACGGGUGAGUAACACGUAUCCAACCUGCCCUUUACUCGGGGAUAGCCUUUCGAAAGAAAGAUUAAUACCCGAUAGCAUAAUGAUUCCGCAUGGUUUCAUUAUUAAAGGAUUCCGGUAAAGGAUGGGGAUGCGUUCCAUUAGGUUGUUGGUGAGGUAACGGCUCACCAAGCCUUCGAUGGAUAGGGGUUCUGAGAGGAAGGUCCCCCACAUUGGAACUGAGACACGGUCCAG
This 250-nucleotide ribosomal RNA is filed under the name uncultured bacterium. RNAcentral's name for it is "partial 16S ribosomal RNA". It matches the Rfam family "Bacterial small subunit ribosomal RNA", at positions 83 to 334 of the family's 1533-position model. The record is from RNAcentral.